CCCACCCCCGGGGCGGGCCAGGCCUGCUGUGCUGCAGUUCAAUCACCCGCGGCCUUCGGGCUGAGCUGCCUCACUGCGCAGGCGCGGAGGUGCGCACCUGCUCCUUUGAGAUGCUCAGCUGUGGUUGUUCUUAGCGGCAGGAGGGGUUGGAAGGUCUAGGACACUUGGCUGGGCUGGAGAGCUUCCAGAGGCGCAGAAAGGAAGUCAGAGUCCCAGUGGAGGCAGCUGCAGGAGUCUGCUGGAAACAUCUGGAAGGAUAUCAGGUGUACACCAGCCUCCCCUCUCUCUGUGUGGUUUCUCUGUGCUCUCCCUUCUCAUCUGCUAGAAUUACACAAGAAGCAGGUGUGGUUCUGGUAGAAACAGACUCACCGGAUUUUACAAGAAAGAAAGAAAGACCCUCCACAAAGCUCCGGUCCUCCCUUAAAGCACAAAGCUUUGUGGGGGUGUCCUUGGUGACUUCUCCAGUCUGGAUGGUCUCGUUGGACGAGACGGUCUCCAGCAGGUACCAAGAGAAACGGGCACACAGCUCUGUCAGGCGGGAAGCAGAGUGAUCGGGAGACGGGACCGCCCGGGGCCCCACCGCCCGGCGCGCUUGGCAAACUCGGCUCCGUGCCUGCCUUGGGUCAGGCCUUGAGCAGAGGACACCUCCUCCCCCUUCAGGCCCUGGCCCAGGGCAUAGCGUCACCUCCACCUGACGGCCUGCUGCCACCCUCCCCCACAAAACGGAAAAGACCAAGAAGGAGCCGGCAUCCACACCGCUGACGUGCGUGCCAGGGCUUCUGGAGCCAGGCCUGCCCAGAGCGGGUGUGGUUCCUGGUGGUGACUUCCAGGCCAGCCAGGUGACUCUCGCGAAGGCCAGCACCACAGCCCCAGGGCAGCAGCUAUCGGGGACGCGAGCAGAGGGCCUGGCUGACGGGCUCGGCCCCCAAGAUGGGGAUGGGAAAGGCCGCCCAUUGGGAGAGGUGGGCCUUGACCCCCCAGUCCUGUCCAGGCUGGCUCUGCCCUGCUCCCCGGGGCGUGCGCGCACAGCCAUCCAUCAUUUCUGGGCCUCCAGAUUAUUCUGGAGCUGAUUAAAUUAGCAAAUGCAAUCACAAUCUGAAGCAAGUUAAUUGAGAGAAUUUAUUUGGGCCUGACAGUUUUAUGCAUGUUUGAUGAAGUAUUAUAAGGUUUAUUUUUGAUUUUGCAUAAUUUACCUUUAAAUCCUGCACUGGGGGGCCCAUCAACCAUUAACGACCAAAAUAAACCUCUUUUAAGAUGCAUCUAUUUAUGAUUUAUUUCUGAAUGCAAUAUCCUCCAGAUUUUUUUGGUGCUGUUGCCAAACUGACAAAUAUGUUAAAAGUAACAUUUUGAGCCAUUGCAUUCACCCUAUAAAUCUUCUGGAAUGUAUACAAUUCAUUAAAAGUUUUGAACGAA
Long non-coding RNA from Cervus elaphus (red deer), 1413 nucleotides. RefSeq lists it as uncharacterized. The transcript is spliced from 4 exons. The record is from RefSeq and is a predicted model, not a curated record. NCBI's taxonomy places the organism in Eukaryota, Metazoa, Chordata, Mammalia, Artiodactyla, Cervidae.